This 253-nucleotide ribosomal RNA is filed under the name uncultured bacterium. Its description in RNAcentral is "partial 16S ribosomal RNA". It matches the Rfam family "Bacterial small subunit ribosomal RNA", at positions 524 to 776 of the family's 1533-position model. The record is from RNAcentral.
UACGUAGGGACCGAGCGUUGUCCGGAAUCAUUGGGCGUAAAGAGCGUGUAGGCGGCUUGUUAAGUCUUGCGUGAAAUCUCGGGGCUCAACCCCGAGCGGUCGUGAGAAACUGGCAGGCUAGAGUGCGGGAGAGGAGAGUGGAAUUCCUGGUGUAGCGGUGAAAUGCGCAGAUAUCAGGAAGAACACCCGUGGCGAAGGCGGCUCACUGGCCCGAUACUGACGCUGAGGCACGAAAGCGUGGGGAGCAAACAGG